This is a non-coding RNA of Aegilops tauschii subsp. strangulata, 1636 nucleotides long. Lineage: Eukaryota; Viridiplantae; Streptophyta; Magnoliopsida; Poales; Poaceae. The record is from RefSeq and is a predicted model, not a curated record.
CACUCACAGGCUGCCCACCCACGACUCAACUCACCCUGACUGCGUGUUCCCGUCUGACCUCGCCCGAGCACUUUCUUGACCUCGCCGGGAGCAGCCAGCUGGAUCCCGCCGCCGUGCCUCCCUCUCUCCCUUCUCUUCUUUUCCCCAACCUCUCUAUCUCCUCUGAACUGCAUGUCGCUCCUCUCUGCAGGUGCCGCCAUGGCCGCGUCUUGGAGCUCGUCGCCGUGAGCUGCGUGCCCCUACGAUGACGGCCUUCCUCGCCCACGUCCAGGACCUCUCAAUCCUAAUUUGAUACGCCACGAGUGGGAGCGGAAGCUGCGAUGUCAAGAUCUGCUUGCAUUGCCAUGAAUUUCCUCAUCACAUUAGGAUUCAUCGACGCCGCCAGCAAGUUCUGUAUCAAUUCCGGCACCCAACGUACUGUAUGCCCACACGUUUAAAUCAUGUCGGUCUUACUCCUGCAAUACUCCAAGAAUAGUACUUGAGAUUUAGGCAAUAGUGGGAAUGGUAAUUAAUUUUUAUUUAGUUGGUUCAGUUACUAUCAUUGGAAGUGCCAGGAAGAUCUCACCGUCAAGAGCAGCGCUGCAGGGUCAUUCACUUGGUUGGCCUCUGAUGUAACUGGUGUUGUUGUGUCCAUGUGGAAGGAGAGCCCGCUUCUCCGGGACGCCGGCACUGACAUGCUCACCGUAGGCGCCGUCAUGGCGGUGCUCGACUUCAGGGAGGAGGUCGGCAAUCACCACUUCUUGGACCAAAGUUUGCAGAAGCUAUGGAAGAAAUGGUAACUUGCUUACUUGGGAAAACUGCAUUGGAUAACGAUGCUGAUGAUAGCGAUCCUUCAUGAAAAUAACUGUUGAUGCGACUUUUUCUAUACAAGCGGUGAUGCUAAGGCUCAGUUUGAACUACAAAAUUUCGUGGAUAACUAUCGUAAAAAUGUCAUAAAUACAAUCACAAACCCAUCAGUUCUAUGAUAUGGAUGCCGUGGUGAUUGCUGGAAGGGAGGGUUCCUGGGAUGAUGAGAAGGUAUGCAGAUUCAUACUGUUCCAGGUUUAGAGUGAAAUCUAAACUAAUGAAUGAAGAGUUGUAGACACAGUAUUUUUGUUGAUGCAGGUCAUUAAGUAAUUCACGAAGUUGGGAUGGGGGGAGACCAUUAUGGGGAGUAUUAGAUUAGCAGAAAAUGCAGAGUUCGUGAUUUAGUUUUUAGAUUGGAAUGUGCUCUGCAUUACUAAAAGAGAGUUUUUUUUUCUGAAGAUGAAUCUAAAUGGUGUGACGGUCUGAGUACUCAUGGGCGUGACGAGGUGACUGCGGAGCCACCAGAACAUGCGAGUGGCAAUGCUUCAGGACAAGUAGGGUGGGGUGGGGCGACACGUGUGACGGUGUGCGGGGUGGAGGAUAGAUUAGCCUUGGAGGGGGUCACAAGAGUCGGAGGAGGGGAUGAACUGGGGAGCACAAGAUGCUGCAUGUAGUAUUCAACCAGUGCAAACAAUGUGUAAACGACCGAUGUUUGGUCGCUACCAUAUCAUUAGUUUUUUUAUAAAGUGGGUAUAUAUUCGAAGGAUUUUCGACAUAUUCUUUAAUGAGUAGGGCAUUUUGGAUCUUGGCAAACAAAUUUAUAAAGUGGAUAUAUAUAUUCAAAGGACCA